AUAGAUACCCUGGUAGUCCACGCCCUAAACGAUGCGAACUGGAUGUUGGGUACAUUACGGUACUCAGUGUCGAAGCUAACGCGUUAAGUUCGCCGCCUGGGGAGUACGGUCGCAAGACUGAAACUCAAAGGAAUUGACGGGGGCCCGCACAAGCGGUGGAGUAUGUGGUUUAAUUCGAUGCAACGCGAAGAACCUUACCUGGCCUUGACAUCUGUCGAAUCCUGCAGAGAUGCGGGAGUGCCGCAAGGAACGACAAGACAGGUGCUGCAUGGCUGUCGUCAGCUCGUGUCGUGAGAUGUUGGGUUAAGUCCCGCAACGAGCGCAACCCUUGUCCCUAGUUGCCAGCACGUAAUGGUGGGAACUCUAGGGAGACUGCCGGUGACAAACCGGAGGAAGGUGGGGAUGACGUCAAGUCCUCAUGGCCCUUACGGCCAGGGCUACACACGUACUACAAUGGUCGGUACAGAGGUUGCGAAGCCGCGAGGUGGAGCCAAUCCCAGAAAACCGAUCCCAGUCCGGAUCGGAGU
Molecule: ribosomal RNA, 527 nt
Filed under: uncultured bacterium
Lineage: Bacteria
Description: bacterial SSU rRNA
Rfam family: Bacterial small subunit ribosomal RNA
Source: RNAcentral